GAUGAACGCUGGCGGUAUGCCUAACACAUGCAAGUCGUACGAGAGUUUUUAACUCUAGUGGCGGACGGGUGAGUAACACGUGAGAAUUUGCCUUUAGGAGGGGGACAACAAUUGGAAACGAAUGCUAAUACCCCAUAUGCUUUCGAGUGAAAUGGAUUUUAUCCGCCUAGAGAGAAGCUUGCGGCUGAUUAGCUUGUUGGUGAGGUAAUGGCUCACCAAGGCGACGAUCAGUAUCUGGUUUGAGAGGAUGAUCAGACACACUGGAACUGAGACACGGUCCAGACUCCUACGGGAGGCAGCAGUGGGGAAUUUUCCGCAAUGGGCGAAAGCCUGACGGAGCAAUACCGCGUGAGGGAAGAAUGCCUAUGGGUUGUAAACCUCUUUUUUCAGGGAGGAAUAAAAUGACGUGUACCUGAAGAAUAAGCAUCGGCUAACUCCGUG
RNAcentral lists this ribosomal RNA (441 nucleotides) under uncultured bacterium. RNAcentral's name for it is "bacterial SSU rRNA". It matches the Rfam family "Bacterial small subunit ribosomal RNA", at positions 28 to 507 of the family's 1533-position model. The record is from RNAcentral.